GGGUGGGGACACCAAGGCCUUCGGAAGGCUCUGGUUCUGCUGCUCACUGCCUGUGUGACCUGAAGAAAACCAUGUGCCCUCCCUGGCCACAGGUGACAAUAGGAGGCGCGGUGAGAAGAGUCUGCAGGCUCCCAGCCUUCGCAUGGCUCGCCUCCCUCCCAGCAGCUCAGUGACGGGCUUGGGGGAGGCCCCGUGGAAUUCGGCAGCCGUGAGGCGCUUUCUCUCGGGAGUCACAAAGCCUUUCGCAAAACCAGAGAUGGGUGUUUCCUACCUGCCAAGGAGAGAGGAGUGUCGUGGAGCCGAGGACCUCUGUCCCCCUGUCCCCUGGGGUCAGGGGGCUGGGAAGCAUCCUUGCUGUCCACCGGUAAACCCUUAGUUCCUCCCAUCUGUAAACUAAGGAGUUGAAAGAGAUGGACUCUGUGGCCUGUCGAUGCCACACUCUCAUGACUCUGAGACAGGAGCCUGUGGCCCUGAGCUGCCUCAAUGCUGACAACUGGAAACGUAGCCCAGCUGAGCAAAGAGCAGGCCAGGGCGGCAGGGAAGUGAAACCCUGGCUUGAAUGUGCUGCUUCGGCUCAGUAAAUAACUGACGAGGGAGGAGAAUGGCCCCAAACUGCAAGUUGCCCCAUUGAAGGGAGGAAACCAGAGAGCAUGGGGGGAGGGGCAGGAGGGGUCCCAAGAGGAGGGGAUGGAAGGCUCGUGGUGGGCAUCGCGGGGACCCCUUAGGAAAGCAGACUGAUAGGCCUAAUUGGGGGUGGGGGUUCUGGACUCACAGAGCACGUGUGAAACGAGUUCUUCCUUUUCAUCCGCACUUUACUGCAAUCACAGCACCAGGCGGUUCUCAAGGGCAGCCCAGGGGCCUGAGCCUGCGGCCGUCAGGCCAUUUGUGUGUGUCUCAGCUCCCAGCAUCACCUCCCAGCCCUCUCCCAUCCCAUCUGUGCCCUGGUUUGCUUUGUCCCUGCACCCCCUCCUAAGAGUAACCCUUUUUUUUUCUUUUUCUUUCUUUCUUUCUUUUUUUUUUUUUUAAGGCUGCACAUGCAGCAUAGGUAAGUUCCCAGGCUAGGGGUCUAAUUGGAGCUGCGCCGCCAUCCUGCACCACAGCCACAGCAACUGGGGAUCCGAACUGCAACUAUGACCAACACCACAUCUCACGGCAAUGCUGGAUCCUUAACCCACUGUACUGGGCACAGAACCUGCAGCCCAGUGCCCCCCAAGAGGCUGCUGAUCCCCUCGUGCCACAGAGGGAGCUUCAGAGUCACCCUUUAUGCAUGAUCCAGUGCCUGGUUCUCCCUGGAAGGAAGCUGGAGUCCCGGUGUGAGCAGGUGUGGAGGCAGAGGCUGUGGUGAUGCAGCUGAUGGCAGGAUCUGGCUCCAAGGCUGGGCCCCGGCUGAUCUGACGCCCUGAGAAGCCCUUGGGAGGUUGGAGGCAUAUCGACAGACAUUUUAUCAUUUCGAGCAUUAAAAACUUAGAUUUGUUAUAUAUGAAAUAUUCAUAAGUUGGCCCAGUUUCACAUUUUAUUGAUUGAUGCUGAGAAAUCCGCGUUUCAGCAACACGAGUCAUGGCUACCAGAAGAAAGACCUUGUUAGGGAAUUGGCUUUGCUGGGGUCUCAGACCGCAGCUCCCCUCACAUCAGAGAGCAUCUCAUCUUCACCGGCUCCCGAGAGCAAAGGCCGGUCCUCAUGCCCCACCAGGGGCGAGCCGCCUCCCCGCGGGGGGAGCUUGGUGCAGGAACACCCCGUGGAGCAGAGGCCCCGGUGUUGGGUCCAGGCCCCCAGGCCAGUCCUCAGCCCUGCUGCCCCAUCAGAGCGGCGAGGCUGAGCCCACGCACUGGAGCUGCUGGACCGUUCCCGGUGGCCCCAGAGGAGGCGCCGAGGUUCCCCAUCUUCGCGAGAGGACGUGGAGCCCUGAGUCGCUCAGUCAACGAGCAAAUAGGCGUCCUCUGCCUGAAACUGCCAAGGGCUUUGUCCCCAGCCAGCCUCGGCACCAGGCUCCUCAAAGGAAACAUCAUGCCUCCAGCCCAGUGUUAAGAUGGAACGAAUGAAACCUACAGUCUGACGGGUCCAGAAGCCCUUUGGAAUAUCUCAUUCUACAGACACAAUCCCCCACUGAGCAAUCUGGGUGCCUUUCUCCCCUGAGCAAUCCAAGCAACAGGCACAAAAUUCUCUGCUAGGAAUAAGCUGGCCACUACAGAGCAAGAGAAAUUAAUUUUUAAAAAAUUAGCAAACAUUAACUAUGAUCUAACAAGAGGGAUGCCUGAACUCCUCGUUCCACCAUGAGUGUUCCCUGUCUGCUAUUUAGCCUCAGUCGUAUGUUGAAUCCAGUCCCCACGCCCAAAGAUAUGGCCACGCUCUGACCCCAGGAACCUGUGCGGGCGGUCUUAUUUGAAAAAGGGGUCCCUCCAGAUGUAAUGAAACUAAGGAUCUUGAGAGCAGCUCAUCCUGGAUUACCUGAGUGGGACAAAGUGAGACAAAGAGGGGAAGGUCCUGUGAAGAUGGAGCCGAGAUUGGAGUGACAGAGCCAUAAGCCGCAUCGUGCCUGCGGCCCCCAGAAGCUGGAGGAGGCAAAGAACCGAACCUCCAUGAGAACCUCUGGAGGGAGGCCAGCCCUGUCGACAUCUUGACUUUGCACUUGGCCCUCCAGGUCUGCGAGAGGCUAGAUUCCCAUUGUUUGAAGCCACCAAGCUGUCGUGAUUUGUUGCAGCAGCCCCAGGAAACGAAUCCAUCACUUUACAUGGGAAGGCUCAUGAUUUCAGGGACUCCCACCUCUGAUUCUAGGAGGGGCCCCCAAGUCCUCCCGGCAGCGCUGGCCGUCCACCGUUGUCCUCCUUCCCUCCCUGUCCCCUGCGUCCCCACAGCUCCUAGGUGGAGAAGUGUUUUACACGGUAGAGGCAUCUUGUGUUGAGCUUACUUACAUUUGGUCUUCGGCCUUUUCCAACAUCUGGGCGUGGCCAGUGUCAUCCCCAGCUCUCCUUGGUCACCAUGACUAGGUAAACUGCUUUAUUGGUACAGAGACCUUAACCGCAGGAGUUUCAGCAUUAAAAAAGAGGCGUUUCUUCUAUAGAUAAAUAGUGCCCAAGGGCCAGAAACACAGUCAGACCUUACAAAGGACCAAGAGCAGACGCCCGAUAAGCCUCGAUAAGACUCAGACCGCAGGCAGUACUUGAUGGCUUAGUUCCCCCAGUGCCCCCUCAGUUCUCUCUCUAACCCAGCUCUCCUUGCCUGUCAGCUGAUGGCCACCCACACCCAGAACAUCAGUUCAGCCUCCUGAUCUGCCUUAUCUCCAUCCAGCAAUUUAAACUUUGAAGGCGCCCUUAAAUCUGUUCUGGAAUGUUCCUCAUGUCAGCCGCCGAAGGCCGAGUGGGUCUGACAGAGAGCUUCAUCCUUUCGGCCUAGGGUCACCCUCGCCGGAGAGGAGAGAAGGCCGACUGUCCGUGCUUCUGCAAAAUCGAGAGAUGUAGGGCAUCGCUGUUGCUGGGGAUCGUGUGUCCGGCCACGUGGAGGAAGUUGGCCUGAGAAAAGCCAAACCAUAUUCGGUGCGAAGAGAAAAGAGAAAGUCUUGUUCGCCUUCAAACUUCUGGAUCCAGUGGUUUUAGAGGCUCUGAUGCUUCUUUUCCAUGGUUGCUUGAGACUUGUCAAUGAACACUUUUCUUUUUUUUUUUUCGUUUAAACUAUUUCCAGUUGAGUUUAUGCUCCUUAAAGAGCCAAACUAAUGUGUCUGCCUGCAGCAUAUUACACUGCAAUAUCACGUCUACUGCCAUGAGUUUGUUAUAACCCUCCCAUGUAAGAAGGAAUAAGACUCAGUCAUGUUAGAUAAAUUAUCCCA
Molecule: long non-coding RNA, 3821 nt
Filed under: Sus scrofa (pig)
Lineage: Eukaryota; Metazoa; Chordata; Mammalia; Artiodactyla; Suidae
Description: lncRNA (ENSSSCG00025033880.1)
Source: RNAcentral